UUAAUCAUCAGUGGCUUGAGCUUCGACAACACCUGUGUCGCAUUGGGAUGCGCUGAGAUUGGGAAAGGUGCUACAUAAAUGCAAGUUAUUUCUUUCCUGCUUAAAGUGAAAGCGGAGCGAAAGUUUGCUGUGGCCCUACGCCGGGGAACAAACGCAGCCUCCACGAGUGGGUGGAUACAAAGCCGUAGUGUCAUUUCAGAUUGAGCGCUCACGGCUCCAGCGAUUCAGUGAUAAACCAUUCACGCACAUUAAGCAGUGAGGCUGCUCAGGGGAUUCACUAAGGCUCCUGUGAGCCAAGUACUGCAUGAAAGUUCAAGAUUACCAUGUCUUCACAGUGUCUCUCCUACAUUCAACCAAUUGUGGAAAAUUCGAUGUUAGUUCACUCGUGAAUGGCUUGUGUCAGGUUCAGGUGACUCAAAACACUCGAGAGGCCGGAUUUCGAUAGCUGUUCAUGUGCAGGGUUUUUUUUCAAAAAAGAGUUUGAAUGUUGCACCAUCUUGAGGAGAAGCUGAUUUGGGCAUUCCGGACACCACAGUCCCCAAAUGGGAUCUUCCAUGAAGUUCAAAGGAGCAACAAAAUGCAGAGAGAUUGUUGGAUAUUCCUCCCCAUCGGACAUUCAUUCCAGAUCAGGUUAGAAAUCCUAACAGGAACUAUAACCGUUGCCUGGAAUUGAGGCUUGGUGCACAAUGACAUGGAUGAUUGAAGCAUGAGAUGUGACCUUGAAUGUCCCAGGAAAAGCUGGUCAAUUUUCGACUAUUCUUCUCAAAGUGACAGGCAAAAAUCUUUGAGCAUUUCUUUAAAAAAGCUGCUUCAUAGUGAGAAGAAUGUCAAGGUACAAUCUCCUAA
Long non-coding RNA from Stegostoma tigrinum, 846 nucleotides. RefSeq lists it as uncharacterized. NCBI's taxonomy places the organism in Eukaryota, Metazoa, Chordata, Chondrichthyes, Orectolobiformes, Stegostomatidae. The record is from RefSeq and is a predicted model, not a curated record. The transcript has 4 exons.